CCCUUAGAUGUCCGGGGCCGCACGCGCGCUACACUGAAGGAAUCAGCGUGGCUUUCUCCCUGACCCGAAAGGGUUGGGAAACCCGUUGAAUCUCCUUCGUGAUAGGGAUUGGGGCUUGAAAUUGUUCCCCAUGAACGAGGAAUUCCCAGUAAGCGCGACUCAUAAGCUCGCGUUGAUUACGUCCCUGCCCUUUGUACACACCGCCCGUCGCUACUACCGAUUGAACGGUUUAGUGAGGGCCUCGGAUUGGUCUCGGCCCGCUCUUUACCGGGCGGCGCCGUUGGUCGAGAAGACGCUCGAACUUGAUCGUUUAGAGGAAGUAAAAGUCGUAACA
RNAcentral lists this ribosomal RNA (334 nucleotides) under uncultured eukaryote. Its description in RNAcentral is "partial 18S ribosomal RNA". It matches the Rfam family "Eukaryotic small subunit ribosomal RNA", at positions 1470 to 1796 of the family's 1831-position model. The record is from RNAcentral.